GGAGAAGAGACCUUAAAAGGCCCCCAUCUCCCAUGGAUGAGAGUUAAAUAGUUUCAGGAUGGGGCUGCAACUUUCCUUUGCUCUGUUGGAGGGAAAAGACACUGAGCUCUGCUGCUAGGAACCAAAGUCUCACUUUGCUCUUGUGACUUAUCUCGUGAUUCUGGGGGCUUUUAAGACACUUCUUCUAAAUAAAAACUGGCAGACGAAGAGGCAGGACAAUGUCCAAGCACCAGGGACAGUCAGAGAUGGAGAAGAUUGGUUGGUUGGUUGGUUUUUUUUUGCUCUAUUUGAGAUCCAAACCUUCAGAGCAGCUGCAGGAGAGGAGACUGUUGUCAAGGGCGCGAGACACAGACACUGCUCAAAGGAGAGCCAUAAACCAAAGGCAAAGGUCCCCGGACAAGGGCCAGGGGCAGAGGGAGAGGAGUGCUUACAGCCGUCCCCUUCCAAUGGAAGUGAAGCAGAAUUUGCUCUCAUGCUUUUUCCCAGCCUGGAUUUCUGGUGAUUCUUUCCAAUUAAUUUCACCUCUUUUCCCUACCAAGCUCCAGAAAAUGUGAUUAAACAGAAGGAAAAGCAGCAAGAACAGCAAACCGACGUAUCUAUGGAGUUUCUCUGGCUCUCUGCUGCCAACUGAGGGGCUCUCCCCACCUUCAUGGACGUCCCAGGGAUGUUUCAGAAGCCGAAAAUGCCUCUGGGUGGAAUCAGAAUUCAACUCCAGACAGCCUGAAAAUCCUGCAGCUUAAGGGCAGGUCGUGAACCGGCUCCCAUUGCAAGGGGAUGGUCUUAGCAGCCUCGUCCGCCCCGGAUUGGUGAGCCCCGCCGGAAGCCGCCUGCACACGCAUUUUCUAACAGAUAAGUCAAUCGGCAGAGACUUGCCCCCCUCUCCCCCCCCACCUUAUCCCAAAAUACCGUUUUCGCAAAGCCGGAGCCCACCAGUCACCCGGCAGCUCCCAGCACUCCCCUCUCCGCCACCCACCCUCGGCUCCUUAGCUCUAAAGGAGGGGGAUGAGGGGAUGUUUCCCCCCUCGCACCUCCUUUGGGGGUGCAAAAGGGUCGGCAGCAGCCGGCACCGGGGGUCCCGCACCCAGCCACCCCUCCGGGCCCGCAGCUUCCCCGGUGCCGCAUAACCUCUGUCCUCAGUCGGCUCUGGGAUGACGUGGCUUCGCACCCACCGCAAUUGGGGAUUUCGAGGUGUCCGUUCUGCUGGAGGCUCCUUAUGGACCGGGGGGAAAUAAAAAGAGAAGAUAGGCCUUUUCUUUUUUGUCGCGGCACGAAAUACCGUCUUUAGGCAAGGGUCUAAAGAUGCUAAAACGGCACCAGAAAUCGAAGUCUAGGAAAGGAGUGAGAAAAAUGAAAUAACGCGAAAUCGGCCGGAGCUGGGGAAGGUUCGCUCUAACAAGUGGUGGGAGGAUGCUCUGCCAACGAGUGGGGCUGCCUCUUCUUUAUAUAUUUCCUUGGCUCUUAUUAUUAUUAUUAUUGCUAUUUUUUCUUCGGAGUGGGAGAGUUUGCUUAAAAAGUGAUCUUAAUUAAAAAGAGAAGGAGCGGAAUGGGUAAGUCGGUGCUGGAUUCGGCCUCGCCGAGUGCUGGGGAGGGAGGUGGUGUUCGUAACGUGUUGGUCUUUUUGUAGUUUCCCACGUGUAGAUUCCCGAGAAUACUUAAUGCUUCUCAUCAGCUGCAGCCGUCCGGAUAGAAAGCUGUUGGCUGCUUCUGCGGACGGGCGAGCAGAGCUGAUCGUCUUCCCCCUUCUUUAGCUUCUAUGAUCAUUUCUUCCUCUGUCUUCUCAAAGUUCAAGCUCUCCUUUAAAACAAAGAUCGGGAGCAAAACCGAUCUUUGUUCGCACCUCCACUUCUCCGCACCGUCUGUUGAGAGUUCCGUCUAUUCUCGGUUCCGACUCUUCACGAGCCCGCUGUGUGGACGGAAGCUUGCUAGGCUUGGAAUUAAAAGGUCAUUUCGAGAGGAUUGCCAAGUCUACGUGCUGGGGGGACUCAGCCUUUUAUGCCGCCAUGUGUUGUCUCCGUCCGCUGCCAUAGGAAAGCAGUUGUGCCGUAAUGAGGUACCUUUAAAUUUAAUUUCCUGCCCCUCCCCUGCUUUAUGGAUUUCUAAUAACAAUGUUGGAAACCGGAGAAGAAACCUCUUAAAGUCUCCCGGACGGAGGGUUUAUAUAAAUAAUGGAAGGUAGCCGAGCUUAAUUAAGUUUUCCAACAAAUUGGUAGGAUAGGAAGAAAUGCGGUAUUUUGUUUAAGGGGACACCCAGAGAAGGAUGCAUUUCUGUUGGGUCUUUCCAUAGAAUUCUUAUCAAUAUUACUCUUCAAUUUAUUCAUUCUUAACUGAUUUUUUUUUUUCGGAGAUUUAAACGUAAUCCCAAAUAACCUGAAAUGUAUAAACUAAAAAUAAUUAAAAGAUUAAUCGGGGGGAGAAAGAAAGAAAAGAAGACUAAAACUGAGAUUUUUGGUCAGAUUUCCCCAUGAAAAAUAAAAUAGGAAAAAAAAAUCGAAUGAAUUGUUGGACCGAUAAAGUCUUAGCGAAGAGAGAGGUUUAAUGUCGGAUAAGUAGAUGCUCGUAUCCGACUGCAGGUUUGCUGGAAGUGUUUUGCCAACUCCUUUUCUUUAAUGCCAUCCAACGUUUCCUUCUCCCUUUUAAGUGCUGCUGGAUUCUUUCUCGAGGUUCAGCCUUACCCGCUCCACCCAAAGCUCCUGUUGCGACUUAAAGUCUUAUUCGAUUAAUUUAGAAGAUUUGCCGCAUCUGUGGACUAAUUAGAUGAUAUUUCUGUAAGCGAAGCUCCCCUCGCUCUCCCCAUCUCAGCUCACGAUGCCGGGUUUGGUGCAGAGCCCCAGGAUGGGGCUGAGACGGCUCCGAUCGCCCCAAACUGGGGUCGGGUUUAUGGGGAUCAUUCUUACGUAUUCUCUCGCUGAGCUGUGGGAUCGUUUCGUUUCUGCACACCGUCUGCAUUUCCAGUUCACCCUGUAAAGAUACAGAAUUACUGAGAUAGGUGUGAUCGAUCUCCCCCCGCCUUUUUGUUCCUAUUAAUUGGGGUUCUCCGGCACCGGAGGGAUUUUUAUCCGGAUUUUUUCUUUUUCUCCCCGGGGAUUUCGCACAGUUUGGUUUCUCUUAAUUGUGUGGGAAGUGGA
Molecule: long non-coding RNA, 3125 nt
Filed under: Gallus gallus (chicken)
Lineage: Eukaryota; Metazoa; Chordata; Aves; Galliformes; Phasianidae
Description: lncRNA (ENSGALG00010026627.1)
Source: RNAcentral